Molecule: long non-coding RNA, 212 nt
Filed under: Homo sapiens (human)
Lineage: Eukaryota; Metazoa; Chordata; Mammalia; Primates; Hominidae
Description: LHRI_LNC1781.1
Source: RNAcentral
UGGUGGCUCAUGCCUGUAAUCCCAGCACUUUGGGAGGCUGAGGCAGGCAGGUCACGAGGUCAAGAGAUCAAGACCAUCCUGGCCAACAUGGUGAAACCCUGUCUCUACUAAAAAUACAAAAAUUAGUCGACUCACUGCAAUCUCUGCCUGCCAGGUUCAGGCGAUUCUCCUGCCUCAGCCUGGGACUACAGGCGCAUGCCACCACACCCAGC